Molecule: transfer RNA, 65 nt
Filed under: Gyrodactylus gurleyi
Lineage: Eukaryota; Metazoa; Platyhelminthes; Monogenea; Gyrodactylidea; Gyrodactylidae
Description: tRNA-Thr
Source: RNAcentral
GCUUUUUUAGUUUAAUUAAAAUAUGGUUUUUGUAAUACCAAGUUAUUAUUUAUUAAUAUUAAGCU